Long non-coding RNA from Poecilia latipinna (sailfin molly), 628 nucleotides. RefSeq lists it as uncharacterized. The record is from RefSeq and is a predicted model, not a curated record. Lineage: Eukaryota; Metazoa; Chordata; Actinopteri; Cyprinodontiformes; Poeciliidae. The transcript has 2 exons.
AUAUUCAGGCAUCACUGAUUCCAUGUGGGGGGGAAAAAACAGGCAGGCCCACCACAGUCGCUGGCAGUGCACACAAAAAAAAUACCAGACUGGAGAUGGGGACUAACCAGAGGAAAGCACUUUGAUGACAAUCCAAGUAUUUCUCAAGAGGAAUCACUUUUUGAACAUUGUUUUUUUAAAACAUUUCCUUUCAUGCUGAAGUGUAAUAUGCGCUAUGCUGCAUAUUGAGAAUAGUCUAUGUAAAAACAUCCGUGCAAAAUGUGAGUCAUGGGGAAAAGCUGUCUGUUUGCCCAAGUGUGAUGCAGAUGUGGUUGAGUUUAAGAUUUGCUGCUGAGAGAAGGCAAAAAUCAUGAAAAAAAAAAAAAAAAAAGAAACUGCUUUGCUAGCAGGAAAUAUGGUCAAAAAAUCUGGUGGAGGACUGACCUCGCAGCUGUCACCCUACUAGACUGAAAUGCCCCUGAGCAGGGCAUGAAACAAACUGCUGCAGAUCGACUCUGAGGCCAAGAAGACAAGGCUGCGCUGUUUGGUACAUUGAAGCUGCCAGCUGUAUGAGCACAGACACACGGCCCGUAACCCUAGGCCACUGCCACUGCUGUAAAUAGUAAAGUAUUUUAGUAAACAUGCCUCG